RNAcentral lists this unclassified non-coding RNA (477 nucleotides) under Malassezia japonica. Lineage: Eukaryota; Fungi; Basidiomycota; Malasseziomycetes; Malasseziales; Malasseziaceae. The record is from RNAcentral.
AUCCUUUGGCAGACGACUUGAAUGGGAACAGGGUGCUGUAAGCAGUAGAGUAGCCUCGUUGCUACGAUCUGCUGAGGCUAAGCCUUUGUUCUAUAGAUUUGUUUGACACAGUCAAACCACUUCUUCCCAGUACGCACCCAAUGGAGGUGUGUACCAUCGACAGUCCCCACACACGCACAAGUCCCAGCGUCGGCCAGCGCGUAGGUGGAUCUUAUCCUAUUCCCCUUUUCCUUCUCCUUUCCCUUCCCUUUCCCUUGCCCUGCUUCCCUCUUCCCUAUCCCUUACCCCCUCCCUCGCCCUCUCUUGGCCUCGCACAUGCGCGCGUGCACUUGCUCUCCAGCACUUGCACGCGCGCGCCCAGACGCUUGCCCCCCCGAACUUUCCCCUUUAUUACCGUGCCUACGACACUAGUCACCAUCUGCGGCCACAGAACCAUGAAAGCACCGUAUCCCGUCCGAUCUGCGAAGUUCAAGCAAU